Molecule: long non-coding RNA, 297 nt
Filed under: Mytilus galloprovincialis (Mediterranean mussel)
Lineage: Eukaryota; Metazoa; Mollusca; Bivalvia; Mytilida; Mytilidae
Source: RNAcentral
UUGAUAUCUAAAAACUUUAUUCAAAAGAAAUUAUAAACAAACAAAAACUUAAAUGGUUAACACAAAAUAGGAAGAAACAAUAUACAUGGUGUGAACAUACAUGUUGUAUUGUGAAUAUUUAACAAAUACCUGCACAGAUAAAGACAGGGGUAAUGCGUCAUACAUUUGUAAUUUAGGUCUCAACUGUGUAUAUACCGCAAUUCCCGACUUAAGGCUUAUAAGCUCUAAUCCGAGGGAGUCACUGAGACCAGAAUAGCAUAUAGCAUUACGGAUAGCCAAUGUGUUAAAUAACAACAC